CAGGCCUAACACAUGCAAGUCGAGCGGAAACGAGUUAUCUGAACCUUCGGGGGACGAUAACGGCGUCGAGCGGCGGACGGGUGAGUAAUGCCUAGGAAAUUGCCCUGAUGUGGGGGAUAACCAUUGGAAACGAUGGCUAAUACCGCAUAAUGCCUACGGGCCAAAGAGGGGGACCUUCGGGCCUCUCGCGUCAGGAUAUGCCUAGGUGGGAUUAGCUAGUUGGUGAGGUAAUGGCUCACCAAGGCGACGAUCCCUAGCUGGUCUGAGAGGAUGAUCAGCCACACUGGAACUGAGACACGGUCCAGACUCCUACGGGAGGCAGCAGUGGGGAAUAUUGCACAAUGGGCGCAAGCCUGAUGCAGCCAUGCCGCGUGUGUGAAGAAGGCCUUCGGGUUGUAAAGCACUUUCAGUCGUGAGGAAGGUAGUGUAGUUAAUAGCUGCAUUACUUGACGUUAGCGACAGAAGAAGCACCGGCUAACUCCGUGCCAGCAGCCGCGGUAAUACGGAGGGUGCGAGCGUUAAUCGGAAUUACUGGGCGUAAAGCGCAUGCAGGUGGUUUGUUAAGUCAGAUGUGAAAGCCCGGGGCUCAACCUCGGAAUAGCAUUUGAAACUGGCAGACUAGAGUACUGUAGAGGGGGGUAGAAUUUCA
RNAcentral lists this ribosomal RNA (649 nucleotides) under uncultured bacterium. RNAcentral's name for it is "bacterial SSU rRNA". It matches the Rfam family "Bacterial small subunit ribosomal RNA", at positions 43 to 671 of the family's 1533-position model. The record is from RNAcentral.